UACGAAGGGGGCUAGCGUUGUUCGGAAUUACUGGGCGUAAAGCGCACGUAGGCGGACUUUUAAGUCAGGUGUGAAAUCCCGGGGCUCAACCUCGGAACUGCAUUUGAAACUGGGAGUCUUGAGACCAGGAGAGGUUAGCGGAAUACCGAGUGUAGAGGUGAAAUUCGUAGAUAUUCGGUGGAACACCAGUGGCGAAGGCGGCUAACUGGACUGGUACUGACGCUGAGGUGAGAAAGUGUGGGGAGCAAACAGG
RNAcentral lists this ribosomal RNA (253 nucleotides) under uncultured bacterium. Its description in RNAcentral is "partial 16S ribosomal RNA". It matches the Rfam family "Bacterial small subunit ribosomal RNA", at positions 524 to 776 of the family's 1533-position model. The record is from RNAcentral.